Seriola aureovittata is the source of this 3290-nucleotide long non-coding RNA. RefSeq lists it as uncharacterized. Lineage: Eukaryota; Metazoa; Chordata; Actinopteri; Carangiformes; Carangidae. The transcript is spliced from 3 exons. The record is from RefSeq and is a predicted model, not a curated record.
AAUACACGUGGUCGUAAUCAGAGUUACUCCUCCUUCCUCUUCCUGUCUCUUCUUGGAUUUGUAAAGAUGCAGCUUUAGGAGCGUCACAGCCACAUUCUCAUCUGGAAACCUGAGAUAAAUCAAGUCGCUGGUCUCGUACGGCUGAGAGCGAAGCACAUGCACAAAAACAGGUGGUAAAAAGCUGCGGAGCAGAACAACAGCCCCAGGUGAUCCUGAGCUGUAAUGAACACGGGGAACUGACCACCUGGCUCUAUGUGACAGGACGUGGUUAAAUGAUUGCUCGCCCUCAGGCGGAGGAGAGCGCCUUCACCAGGUUUAACCGGUGAAUGUUUGAGACAGGAACAGGGUGUUCCCCGUCUCUCGCCCGGUGUCAGCUGACGGAUGGAUUAAAUUCUUACAAGAUGACGGUACGAGCUGGAAUGUGAGCGACUUUUACAACAAAAACAUAAUAAUGAAAAUUGUGCAAAUACAAUGAAAGUAAAGGGGGACACACUCUGGUGUUGUUGACAGUGACACACAUCGACACGCCAAGUGUUUUCACUCCUACAGGUGUCGUUAAAAACCUGUUCAGAUUGUCUGGCUGGAGCGGGAAAGUGAACACAGGAAGAAGGUCAAACUUCACGAGUUCAGAACUCUUUCAGACCAAAAACAAGCCGCUAACGAACCCGGGGUUGGUUAUGGACCGGGCAGAGACCACCUCCUCUAAAGGGGCUCGGACUGAUUGUUUUGGUCCACGCCUGAGAGCGAUUACCGUUUUCACACCUGCCCAAACGAAUCGUACCAAGAGGGUUUAACCGACGUUCAGAGCCGACGUUUGGUAGUAGAGAGGAGGAGAGUGAGGGGAUGGAGGCUGGAGUGGUGGAUGUGUCCAGACCAGACUGUAGUUGCCACGGGCAGAUACAGUAGAAAAUGUCCAUCCAUCCAUUUUCUUCCGCUUAUCCGAGCUCGGGUCGAGGUGGCAGCAGGCUGAGCAGCACGCACCAGACAUCCCUCUCUCCGGCAACGCUUUCCCGCUCCUCCUGGGGGAUCCCGAGGCGUUCCCAGGCCAGAUGGGAUAUAUAAUCCCUCCGGUGACUUCUGGGUCUACCCUGGGGGCUCCUCCCAGUUGGGAGGCGCCCAGGAGGCGUCGUUAUCAGACGCCCGAACCACCUCAGCUGGCUCCUUUCGACGUGAAGGAGCGGCGGCUCCGCUUUCCGGCUCAGCUCCCUCUUCACCACAACGGCCCGGUACAACGUCCGCAUUACUGCCAAUCUCCCGCUCUACCCUUCCCUCACCCGUGAACGAGACCCCCAGAUACUUGAACUCCUUCGCUCCUUCACCCGGGGCAGUAACUCACCCUCAAUCCGGAGGGAGCAGUCCACCGUUUUCCGGCUGAGACUCAGAGAUGCUGAAUCUCAUCCCCCGGCCGCUUCACACUCGGCUGCAAACCGGAGGUCAAGUUCUGACCUCCGGUAGAAACGUCUUUGGGUUUUGUACCAAGAUCGUCUACUUUAAAUAUCAGUAGCUACACCACAGUGGAGAAAUAAAAGUAGAAAAGUAUAAACAUUAAUGCAGCUUUAGACGUACUCAUAAUACAGAAUGACAUGUAUAUGACUGGAAUAUAAUUAUUGAUGCAUCAACGUGUAAUCACUCGUUACUUCUGGUGAAGGUGGGGCUGAUUUUAAACACGUCACAGUUUAUUAUUUGAUUUUGUUUUGUGUAAAAACUACAAUAAUAAACUCAGAAAUGUAAAUACGAGUAAAUACAGUUAUUUGUUAUGUGACACUGUGGUAGCAACAGGCACAGUGAUGCGUGUUGAUGUGAUCGUCAUGACGACGACGAUGAUGAUUCUCUAAACGUACUGUAAACGUUUCUCAAAUGCUUUUUCCUUUUUUAUUCAGCUGUAUGUAAUUGUACACUUCCUGUCACGGUGCAAAAUAUCAAAAUAAAAGCCCAGGCGGUUCCAUCAAAUAAUGAACAUCUGAGGGUUUUAUUCCCCAAGAAGCGAAACCAGUCGGGACGUGGGUUUGGUUCCAGUUCACUGAAAUAUUCUGGUUCGUUAACAACUAUUUAUAAAACUUUUAGGAAGUCAUUUAACUAAACAGCAAAUAUGUAAUUAAUUUAUUUGAAAAGUGUAGUCCCUCUUAAAAUUGUUAUAAGCUAAACCUAAAAAAUGUUUUUAAAAAGUCAUCACAGAAUCAUCAUUAUUCAUAUUUGAUAAUCAUAUUCCUUAAUUUAAGCUAACGGGGAAAUACCUCCUGACAUCCAUCCUGACGGGGAACUCUAAUGGGCUGCAACAUCAUGUAACAGGAUUUCAGUGCCGCCAGAACAUCUGAACCGCGCUCGCAGUAUUAAUAGACAGAUUAAAAUGGGACAUGAAGAAGAAGGCUUUAAUCUAAAACUAUAAUGCCAUUUUGAUAAAAAAAAACUAUAUGUAUUUUUAUCUUUAUAUUUCUCUUUGAUGGAUAGAAAGGUAGAAUAUUAUUUUCAUGCCAGUAACUCUUCCGGCCGACAUGAAGAGGUGGUAAAUUUUUAAAUCCCAUCUUGCAGAGCGUCGUCUCAACUCGGAGUCGCCUCGGUCCAUUUAUCAGGCUCCUGUGUGAUAAAUAAAGCUCACUCGGCUCCAGUUGUCUGAGAGGCAAAAAAAAAAAAAAACCCCUCCGUUGUGGCUGGUGCACGGGCGAACAAUGUCUUCACAACAGCAUGUCAGCAACACGCAGGGUCUCCAUCAUCAUCAUUAUCAUCAUCAACAUCCUUUUCCAGAGUCCCGCACUCCAUCUCUGCUGAGCGAUAAAAUGUUUGAUCAGUUCAUUUCAGUGUGGCCUCCAGUGUUUCUGGCUGCCUGCACUUAGCAUGCAAGAGACAGAGUGAGAUUAAUGCAGCGGUUUAUUCCUGCAGAAUCGCAGGCAAAUAGAUUCACUUUGAUGCGGCCACGCAGGACACCUUGCUGUUGAAGCUGCCAGGCGCCUGCGUCACGUCGGUCCACGAGUGUUUUACAGCCACCUCCUCCUCCUCCUCCUUCUUCUUCUUCUUCUUCUCCUCCGCCGCUGUGAGGUUAAUCGAGGAUAAACAGGUAACCUAUUUACUCUGAGGAAAAGCUUCUACCUCAAAGCGUCACUUCACUGCAGCGUGCAGACUUCCUCCUGACUUAAAAAGACUCAUGAAUGUGUUUGAAGCCACGAAAUUCCUGAUUUUGAUAUUUGAAAAGUGCAGGAAAGAAAAAUACACAAUGUAGAUGAACAAACCACAAAAACAGUUCUGAUUUUAAAACUGACGCGCUCGGUCACAACAGCGUUUGUUGUCCUUGAAAA